Molecule: ribosomal RNA, 468 nt
Filed under: uncultured bacterium
Lineage: Bacteria
Description: partial 16S ribosomal RNA
Rfam family: Bacterial small subunit ribosomal RNA
Source: RNAcentral
GAUGAACGCUGGCGGCGUGCUUAACACAUGCAAGUCGAACGGAAAGGCCAGUGCUUGCACUGGUACUCGAGUGGCGAACGGGUGAGUAACACGUGGGUGAUCUGCCCUGCACUUCGGGAUAAGCCUGGGAAACUGGGUCUAAUACCGGAUAGGACAAUGGUUUGGAUGCCGUUGUGGAAAGUUUUUUCGGUGUGGGAUGAGCUCGCGGCCUAUCAGCUUGUUGGUGGGGUAAUGGCCUACCAAGGCGUCGACGGGUAGCCGGCCUGAGAGGGUGUACGGCCACAUUGGGACUGAGAUACGGCCCAGACUCCUACGGGAGGCAGCAAUGGGGAAUAUUGCACAAUGGGCGCAAGCCUGAUGCAGCGACGCCGCGUGGGGGAUGACGGCCUUCGGGUUGUAAACUCCUGUCGCUAGGGACGAAGCGUAUUUGUGACGGUACCUGGAGAAGAAGCACCGGCUAACUACGUG